CCUACGGGAGGCUGCAGUGAGGAAUAUUGGUCAAUGGGAGAGAGCCUGAACCAGCCAAGCCGCGUGAGGGAUGACGGCUCUAUGGGUUGUAAACCUCUUUUGUCAGAGAACAAAACCCGGGACGUGUCCCGGACUGCGUGUAUCCUAUGAAUAAGCAUCGGCUAACUCCGUGCCAGCAGCCGCGGUAAUACGGAGGAUGCGAGCGUUAUCCGGAUUUAUUGGGUUUAAAGGGUGCGUAGGCGGUCCGUUAAGUCAGCGGUAAAAUUGCGGGGCUCAACCCCGUCGGGCCGUUGAAACUAGCAGACUUGAGUUGGCGAGAAGUACGCGGAAUGCGCGGUGUAGCGGUGGAAUGCAUAGAUAUCGCGAAGAACAUCGGUUGCGAAGGCAGCGUACCGGAGCCAGACUGACGCUGAGGCACGAAAGCGUGGGGAUCGAACAGGAUUAGAUACCCGUGUAGUC
This 459-nucleotide ribosomal RNA is filed under the name uncultured bacterium. RNAcentral describes it as "partial 16S ribosomal RNA". It matches the Rfam family "Bacterial small subunit ribosomal RNA", at positions 338 to 795 of the family's 1533-position model. The record is from RNAcentral.